GACGAACGCUGGCGGCGUGCUUAACACAUGCAAGUCGAACGGUAAGGCCCUGCUUUUGUGGGGUGCUCGAGUGGCGAACGGGUGUGUAACACGUGAGUAACCUGCCCUUGACUCUGGGAUAUCUUCAGGAAACUGGGGCUAUUACCGGAUAUGCGCUCCUGCUGCAUGGUGGGGGUUGGAAAGUUUCGUUGGUUGGGGAUGGACUCGCGGCUUAUCAGCUUGUUGGUGGGGUAGUGGCUUACCAAGGCUUUGACGGGUAGCCGGCCUGAGAGGGUGACCGGCCACAUUGGGACUGAGAUACGGCCCAGACUCCUACGGGAGGCAGCAGUGGGGAAUAUUGCACAAUGGGCGGAAGCCUGAUGCAGCAACGCCGCGUGCGGGAUGACGGCCUUCGGGUUGUAAACCGCUUUCGGCUGGGACGAAGCGUGAGUGACGGUAAUGGGUAAAGAAGCACCGGCUAACUACGUG
Molecule: ribosomal RNA, 468 nt
Filed under: uncultured bacterium
Lineage: Bacteria
Description: partial 16S ribosomal RNA
Rfam family: Bacterial small subunit ribosomal RNA
Source: RNAcentral